RNAcentral lists this transfer RNA (72 nucleotides) under Podarcis lilfordi (Lilford's wall lizard). Its description in RNAcentral is "tRNA.Ile". Lineage: Eukaryota; Metazoa; Chordata; Lepidosauria; Squamata; Lacertidae. The record is from RNAcentral.
UGGAUAGCUCAGUUGGCUAGAGCAUGGUGCUGAUAACGCCAAGUUUGCAGGUUUGAUCCCCAUAUAGGACAG